GCGAGCUGGAUAGCUAACUUCGGAGUUCAGUUAUUAAAUUAACAGAUACUGAUAAAAUAUGGGUAUCGAAUUCUGAGGAAGGUCCGCACAUCAUUAAAAGCCAUCUGCGAAAGCAGACAUUCGUGAGGAUGAGCUCUGGUAUAGAAACGGGACACUCUCUUUGAGAAAUCAUUGGAGAAACAGCUGGAACGAGCAUCUUGGCUGAUGCAACCACUUUAAACGUGGGCUUAGUAGGAUGUUAGCACAAACAGUUUGUCCUUAGUAAAACAAAAAGUCCUUUGGACUUUUGGAUAUCAAGAUUAUUGAAUCUUGACAUAAGGGAAACAAUGUUUGACAGAAUGUGGCCUAUUUCUGGCUCGC
This 360-nucleotide RNase P RNA is filed under the name Candidatus Pacearchaeota archaeon. RNAcentral's name for it is "RNase P RNA component". It matches the Rfam family "Archaeal RNase P". From Rfam's summary of the family: Ribonuclease P (RNase P) is a ubiquitous endoribonuclease, found in archaea, bacteria and eukarya as well as chloroplasts and mitochondria. The record is from RNAcentral. Lineage: Archaea; Nanobdellati.